UACGUAGGGGGCUAGCGUUGUCCGGAUUUAUUGGGCGUAAAGAGCGUGUAGGCGGCCAGGUAGGUCUGCUGUGAAAACUCGAGGCUCAACCUCGAGACGUCGGCGGAAACCAUCUGGCUAGAGUCCGGAAGAGGAGAGUGGAAUUCCUGGUGUAGCGGUGAAAUGCGUAGAGAUCAGGAAGAACACCGGUGGCGAAAGCGCUCUGCUAGGCCGCAACUGACACUGAGGGACGAAAGCUAGGGGAGCGAAUGGG
Molecule: ribosomal RNA, 253 nt
Filed under: uncultured bacterium
Lineage: Bacteria
Description: partial 16S ribosomal RNA
Rfam family: Bacterial small subunit ribosomal RNA
Source: RNAcentral